Molecule: transfer RNA, 76 nt
Filed under: Fretibacter rubidus
Lineage: Bacteria; Pseudomonadati; Pseudomonadota; Alphaproteobacteria; Maricaulales; Robiginitomaculaceae
Also listed under: 7 other names
Description: tRNA-Ala
Rfam family: tRNA
About the family: Transfer RNA (tRNA) molecules are approximately 80 nucleotides in length. Their secondary structure includes four short double-helical elements and three loops (D, anti-codon, and T loops).
Source: RNAcentral
GGGGCUUUAGCUCAGUUGGUAGAGCAUCUGCUUUGCAAGCAGAGGGUCAGCGGUUCGAAUCCGCUAAGCUCCACCA